Molecule: long non-coding RNA, 636 nt
Organism: Chelonia mydas (Green sea turtle)
Lineage: Eukaryota; Metazoa; Chordata; Testudines; Cheloniidae
Exons: 2
Source: RefSeq, a predicted model, not a curated record
UCACUUUGACACGCCGGCAAAAGGACUGCCCUGUAACCAGGGUGUAAGGUCUUAUCCCUCUCCUUCGUAAACUAGGAGAGCCCCUUUGUGCCUGUGGCUGAGUGACCCCCCUUUAAGAAGGGCUGAGGUUCUCCUUCUGCUGGUCACAGUAAAUUGCACUCGAAUGAUUUCUACUUGGCUUUUCUGGGUUCUGAAGUGAAAUCUGAUUUGUGUCCUAUGUAUUUCCCGUCCGGGUCACAUGUAACCUGGUGUGGCGAAGGGGCGGCUGUAAGGGGAUGGUGGAGGCCGUGAAAAAUUCAACCCUUUCUUCAAAAAAGCCAAGAAAUCACCAAAGUCCAAAGUGAGCUCCCUCUAACUAGGGUGCAGGUCUUUCCCCAGAUUACACUCCCCUUUGAAAGGUAGUUCUAGAAACCAGCCUCUUGAGAGAGCUAAGGGUUUGCCCUUGUAGCUGUCCUGUGCCCGUGGCCUCCUCACGCUCUCAGCCAAGUCAAAGCCCAGCGUAUUCUGCAUCCAGCCGGCCCUGAGUUCUGCUGCAAGCUCUCCUGCCUUCUGCUACGGAUUGGUGCCGAAACCUAGGAAUUGGGCAACUCAAAGGACAAAAGGAAGACGACGACAGAAGCACCAAAGAAACUGCAG